RNAcentral lists this long non-coding RNA (1166 nucleotides) under Callithrix jacchus (white-tufted-ear marmoset). RNAcentral's name for it is "lncRNA (ENSCJAG00000078214.1)". Lineage: Eukaryota; Metazoa; Chordata; Mammalia; Primates; Cebidae. The record is from RNAcentral.
GCAGUAGCAUGAUAACAGCUCACUGCAGCCUCGAUCUGUGUUCAAGGGAUCCUCCCACCUCAGUCUCUCAAGUAGCUAGGACUACAGACAUGCACCACCACACCUUGCAAAUUAAAAAAAUUUUUUUGUAAAGAUGGGGUCUUGCUAUGUUGUCCAGGCUGGUCUUGAACUCCUGGGCACAAGUGAUCCUCCUGCCUCACCCUCCCAGAGGGUUGGGAUUCCAGGCGUGAGCCACACUAAAUUUCAUUGUUUCAUGAUGUCACUGGAGGAAAGGGGAGAAAGAAACUUCUUACCAAAGCUUUGUUAAGAUGAGAAUCCAAAUUCUAUGACCCUUAUGUCAUUCCUAUUUCUAAAAAUGAUGUUACUUGAAUUAUCAGAAUGUUUGUUACUAGAACACACCCUCUUCUUUAAAACAGAACUGUAGCGGGUGCAGUGGCUCAUGCCUGGAAACCCAGCAACUUGGGAGGCUGAGGCAGAACGGUUGCUUGAGCCCAGGAGGUCAAGACCAGCUUGAGCAAGAGAGCAAGACCCUAUCUCUAUAAAAUAUAAAUUAAAAAUUAGCUGGGCAUAGUGGCACUGGUCUCUAGUCCCAGCUACUUGGGAGGCUGAGGAAGAAGGAUCACUUGAGUCCAAGAGUUCAAGGCUCAAGUGAACUAUGAUUGCACCACAGCACUCCAACCUGGGCGACAGAGGGAGACCUGGUCUCAGAAAAAUAAAUAAAUAAUAAAAUAGAAUUGUAUAGAAUGUAAUCCUUGCUCAGAGAGAGCUAACAGACUUGUCAGACAAUAAGAUCAGCAACCUGAAGAUGGCAACCAGGACAUUCAGUGUAAUUAAGGAUGUGAUUGAGAGGCGUAGACUGCUCUAUUAUUAUCUACAGAAUAGAAAUGGAGCAAUAAUACUGUAAUGACUCAGCCUGGCGUGGUGGCUCAUGCCUGCAAUCCCAGCACUUUGGGAGGCCGAGGUGGACAGGUCACUUAAGAAUAGGAGUUCGAGACCAGCCUGGCCAACAUAAUGUAACCCUGUCUCUACCAAAAAAUAUACAAAAAAAUACAAAAAUCAGCCAGGCAUGGUGAUGUGCACCUGUAGUUCCAGCUACUUGGGAGGUGAAGGUGGGAGGAUCAAUUGAGCCUGGGAGGGGGAGACUGCAGUGAUCCAAGAUUAUGAUC